RNAcentral lists this ribosomal RNA (395 nucleotides) under Triticum aestivum (bread wheat). Its description in RNAcentral is "partial small subunit ribosomal RNA". Lineage: Eukaryota; Viridiplantae; Streptophyta; Magnoliopsida; Poales; Poaceae. The record is from RNAcentral.
GCGAGCGAAGUAGAGGGGAAAGAGUAGGGGCACAACAACGAGCAGCGGCGGUCUAGAGCAGAGCAGGGUAGCGCGGGGCAAGGUCACCUCGAGGUGGCGGUCUAGUACGGCUACACUUCGGUUCAGCAACCACGGGGCAAGGUCAAGAUCUGAGGUCAGAUCUGGGGUCUAGACCUCGCGGCGGCGGCCUAGGACGGUGCCUGCACAGUUGGCUGGCGGCGUCCUUGGUAGGAGCGGCUGAGGGCUGGUUUUGGCCCGGUCGUAAAAGACAGAUAACAAAAAACUCCUCCGACCAACUAUAAUACCUAUUAGAUGUUAACAUAUAUUUAACUACUCUUAGCCAACUUCCCUAACUCCACCCUGUUUUUUAGUUUGUAUUAGUUGCGUACUGGUCU